This 760-nucleotide ribosomal RNA is filed under the name Prevotella nigrescens. RNAcentral describes it as "bacterial SSU rRNA". It matches the Rfam family "Bacterial small subunit ribosomal RNA", at positions 28 to 776 of the family's 1533-position model. Lineage: Bacteria; Pseudomonadati; Bacteroidota; Bacteroidia; Bacteroidales; Prevotellaceae. The record is from RNAcentral.
GAUGAACGCUGGCUACAGGCUUAACACAUGCAGUCGUGGGGAAACGGCAUUAUGUGCUUGCACAUUCUGGACGUCGACCGGCGCACGGGUGAGUAUCGCGUAUCCAACCUGCCCCUUACUUGGGGAUACCCCGUUGAAAGACGGCCUAAUACCCGAUGUGUUUCAUUGACGGCAUCCGAUAUGAAACAAAGGUUUUCCGGUAAGGGAUGGGGAUGCGUCUGAUUAGCUUGUUGGCGGGGCAACGGCCCACCAAGGCGACGAUCAGUAGGGGUUCUGAGAGGAAGGUCCCCCACAUUGGAACUGAGACACGGUCCAAACUCCUACGGGAGGCAGCAGUGAGGAAUAUUGGUCAAUGGACGCAAGUCUGAACCAGCCAAGUAGCGUGCAGGAUGACGGCCCUAUGGGUUGUAAACUGCUUUUAUGUGGGAAUAAAGUGGCGCACGUGUGCGCCAUUGCAUGUACCUCAUGAAUAAGGACCGGCUAAUUCCGUGCCAGCAGCCGCGGUAAUACGGAAGGUCCGGGCGUUAUCCGGAUUUAUUGGGUUUAAAGGGAGUGUAGGCGGUCUGUUAAGCGUGUUGUGAAAUUUAGGUGCUCAACAUUUAACUUGCAGCGCGAACUGUCAGACUUGAGUACACGCAGCGCAGGCGGAAUUCAUGGUGUAGCGGUGAAAUGCUUAGAUAUCAUGAGGAACUCCGAUCGCGAAGGCAGCCUGCGGGAGUGUUACUGACGCUUAAGCUCGAGGGUGCGGGUAUCGAACAGG